CCCGCUGAACUUAAGCAUAUCAAUAAGCGGAGGAAAAGAAACUAACAAGGAUUCCCCUAGUAACGGCGAGUGAAGCGGGAUGAGCUCAAAUUUGAAAUCUGGCUGGUUUACUAGUCCGAGUUGUAAUUUAAAGAAGCGUUUUCGGUGGCAGCCUGGGUAUAAAUCCUUUGGAAUAGGGUAUCAUAGAGGGUGAGAAUCCCGUCUUUGACCUAGUGCAUGCUACUAUGUGAUACGUUUUCAAAGAGUCGAGUUGUUUGGGAAUGCAGCUCAAAAUGGGUGGUAAAUUUCAUCUAAAGCUAAAUAUUGGCGAGAGACCGAUAGCGAACAAGUACCGUGAGGGAAAGAUGAAAAGAACUUUGAAAAGAGAGUUAAACAGUGCGUGAAAUUGUUGAAAGGGAAACGUUUGACACCAGUCAUGUGGGUGGAAAAUCAGUCUUUUGCAUUGGGGAGUUGUAAAGGUUCGGACCGCAAGGCCGGCUUUUGCUUCAUCUUUGGUGUAAGGGAUGCACUUUUUCAUCUACAGGUCAACAUCAGUUUCUUUUGCUGGACAAAACUCCGAGAGAAGGUAGCAGCUUAGGCUGUGUUAUAGCUCUGGAGCGAUACAGUGAAGGGGACUGAGGUUUUCGCAGCGUGUGCUCUCGGGCAAGGCUGGAUGGGUGCAAUGGGAUCGUUCGGGGUACAAUGCCUGGCAUUUUGCUUCGUGUCUUUUCUAUACUCGCUCAACUCAGCUCUUCCACGCUUAGGAUGUUGACUUAAUGGUUUUAAACGACCCGUCUUGAAACACGG
Molecule: ribosomal RNA, 786 nt
Filed under: uncultured fungus
Lineage: Eukaryota; Fungi
Description: eukaryotic LSU rRNA
Rfam family: Eukaryotic large subunit ribosomal RNA
Source: RNAcentral